Molecule: ribosomal RNA, 444 nt
Filed under: Hanseniaspora uvarum
Lineage: Eukaryota; Fungi; Ascomycota; Saccharomycetes; Saccharomycodales; Saccharomycodaceae
Description: partial large subunit ribosomal RNA
Rfam family: Eukaryotic large subunit ribosomal RNA
Source: RNAcentral
UGGAACAGGACGUCAUAGAGGGUGAGAAUCCCGUUUGGCGAGGAUACCUUUUCUUUGUAAGACUUUUUCGAAGAGUCGAGUUGUUUGGGAAUGCAGCUCAAAGUGGGUGGUAAAUUCCAUCUAAAGCUAAAUAUUGGCGAGAGACCGAUAGCGAACAAGUACAGUGAUGGAAAGAUGAAAAGAACUUUGAAAAGAGAGUGAAAAAGUACGUGAAAUUGUUGAAAGGGAAGGGCAUUUGAUCAGACAUGGUGUUUUUUGCAUGCACUCGCCUCUCGUGGGCUUGGGCCUCUCAAAAAUUUCACUGGGCCAACAUCAAUUCUGGCAGCAGGAUAAAUCAUUAAGAAUGUAGCUACUUCGGUAGUGUUAUAGCUUUUUGGAAUACUGUUAGCCGGGAUUGAGGACUGCGCUUCGGCAAGGAUGUUGGCAUAAUGGUUAAAUGCCGCC